GACGAACGCUGGCGGCGCGCCUAACACAUGCAAGUCGAACGGAGCCAAUAGAGCUUGCUUUUUAAGCUUAGUGGCGAACGGGUGAGUAACGCAUGAGUAACCUGCCCUAGAGUGGGGGACAACAGUUGGAAACGACUGCUAAUACCGCAUAAGCCCACGGUGCCGCAUGACACUGAAGGAAAAGGAUUUAUUCGCUUUAGGAUGGACUCGCGUCCAAUUAGCUAGUUGGUGAGGUAACGGCCCACCAAGGCGACGAUUGGUAGCCGGACUGAGAGGUUGAACGGCCACAUUGGGACUGACACACGGCCCAGACUCCUACGGGAGGCAGCAGUGGGGGAUAUUGCACAAUGGGGGAAACCCUGAUGCAGCGACGCCGCGUGGAGGAAGAAGGUUUUCGGAUUGUAAACUCCUGUCGUUAGGGACGAUAAUGACGGUACCUAACAAGAAAGCACCGGCUAACUACGUGCCAGCAGCCGCGGUAAAACGUAGGGUGCAAGCGUUGUCCGGAAUUACUGGGUGUAAAGGGAGCGCAGGCGGGAAGACAAGUUGGAAGUGAAAACCAUGGGCUCAACCCAUGAAUUGCUUUCAAAACUGUUUUUCUUGAGUAGUGCAGAGGUAGAUGGAAUUCCCGGUGUAGCGGUGGAAUGCGUAGAUAUCGGGAGGAACACCAGUGGCGAUGGCGGUCUACUGGGCACCAACUGACGCUGAGGCUCGAAAGCAUGGGUAGCAAACAGGAUUAGAUACCCUGGUAGUCCAUCCCGUAAACGAUGAUUACUAGGUGUUGGGGGAUUGACCCCCUCAGUGCCGCAGUUAACACAAUAAGUAAUCCACCUGGGGAGUACGACCGCAAGGUUGAAACCCAAAGGAAUUGACGGGGGCCCGCACAAGCAGUGGAGUAUGUGGUUUAAUUCGAAGCAACGCGAAGAACCUUACCAGGUCUUGACAUCGUGCGCAUAGUUAAGAGAUUAAUGAAAUCACUCUUUGAGUGACGUAUAGACAGGUGGUGCAUGGUUGUCGUCAGCUCGUGUCGUGAGAUGUUGGGUUAAGUCCCGCAACGAGCGCAACCCUUAUCAUUAGUUACUACGAAAGAGGACUCUAAUGAGACUGCCGUUGAGAAAACGGAGGAAGGUGGGGAUGACGUCAAAUCAUCAUGCCCCUUAUGACCUGGGCUACACACGUACUACAAUGGCUGUCACCAAAGUGAACCAAAUACGGGAGUAAGAGGGAAACACAAAAAACAGUCACAGUUCGGAUUGUAGGCUGCAACUCGCCUACAUGAAGCCGGAAUUGCUAGUAAUCGCGGAUCAGCAUGCCGCGGUGAAUACGUUCCCGGGCCU
Molecule: ribosomal RNA, 1337 nt
Filed under: uncultured bacterium
Lineage: Bacteria
Description: bacterial SSU rRNA
Rfam family: Bacterial small subunit ribosomal RNA
Source: RNAcentral